This 497-nucleotide ribosomal RNA is filed under the name uncultured bacterium. RNAcentral's name for it is "partial 16S ribosomal RNA". It matches the Rfam family "Bacterial small subunit ribosomal RNA", at positions 28 to 507 of the family's 1533-position model. The record is from RNAcentral.
GAUGAACGCUGGCGGCGUGCCUAAUACAUGCAAGUCGAGCGAACAGACGAGGAGCUUGCUCCUCUGACGUUAGCGGCGGACGGGUGAGUAACACGUGGAUAACCUACCUAUAAGACUGGGAUAACUUCGGGAAACCGGAGCUAAUACCGGAUAAUAUAUUGAACCGCAUGGUUCAAUAGUGAAAGACGGUUUUGCUGUCACUUAUAGAUGGAUCCGCGCCGCAUUAGCUAGUUGGUAAGGUAACGGCUUACCAAGGCAACGAUGCGUAGCCGACCUGAGAGGGUGAUCGGCCACACUGGAACUGAGACACGGUCCAGACUCCUACGGGAGGCAGCAGUAGGGAAUCUUCCGCAAAGGGCGAAAGCCUGACGGAGCAACGCCGCGUGAGUGAUGAAGGUCUUCGGAUCGUAAAACUCUGUUAUUAGGGAAGAACAAAUGUGUAAGUAACUAUGCACGUCUUGACGCUACCUAAUCAGAAAGCCACGGCUAACUACGUG